Molecule: ribosomal RNA, 261 nt
Filed under: uncultured archaeon
Lineage: Archaea
Description: partial 16S ribosomal RNA
Rfam family: Archaeal small subunit ribosomal RNA
Source: RNAcentral
CAGCCGUAAACUAUGCGCGUUAGGUGUAUCGGUGACCACGAGUCACCGAGGUGCCGAAGGGAAACCGUGAAACGUGCCGCCUGGGAAGUACGGUCGCAAGGCUGAAACUUAAAGGAAUUGGCGGGGGGGCACCACAACGGGUGGAGCCUGCGGUUUAAUUGGACUCAACGCCGGGAAGCUCACCGGAUAAGACAGCGGAAUGAUUGCCGGGCUGAAGACUCUGCAUGACUAGCUGAGAGGAGGUGCAUGGCGUAGACGUCU